Molecule: long non-coding RNA, 2034 nt
Filed under: Pan troglodytes (chimpanzee)
Lineage: Eukaryota; Metazoa; Chordata; Mammalia; Primates; Hominidae
Description: long non-coding RNA NONPTRT007096
Source: RNAcentral
AUUUUAGAUGUAAAGGAUUUAUUAGCACCUGAGUCAAGUGGAUAACUAAACUCAAAGCCUAAUGAGCUGAUCCUCUAUUUUCUGUUUAAGCAUUAGUUUGAGAGUAUACUUAACUGUGACAUACAUAGCAGAGUCCCAGAAGAAAGAACUGACUACUAACAAAUUGAAACAAGUACCCUUCAGGGGACCGUGGAUAUAACCUGACUCCUUCAGUGACAAAAAUCAAGCUUGUCCUGUUCCUUCUUCCUUUGGGAUUCAUCCCGAAGUGAGUCUCGCUCCAGUUUUCGGGCAUUAAGGACAUCUUCCACAUUGGUGUUUCGGAACAGAACUACAGAAACAGCUCCAAAUAAUGAUGGACUGAUCAAGAAGCUGGUACCAAGAAGUCUCGAAGUUAUUUCAACAGCUUCAUGGAGUGUUUGGAAACUUCCCAGCUUGAACUUCCGAGCUUCCUCACAGGCUGUGUUAAAGUUUUCCCAUUUAUAAGCCAAUCUUGCCAGAAGAGGCUCUGGAACGCAAAUGGGUUACUGCCAGAAGAAUCUGGGACAGCUGCACUAGUGUUAUAUUUCAACCAUGUACCCAAUCUAUGAACUGCUUCCACCAAAUGGUCACUCUGGCACCCAAGCUGGAGUGCAGUGGCACAAUCACGGCUCACUGCAGCCACAGCCUCCUAGGCUCAAGUGAUCCUCCCACUUCAGACUUCUGAGUAGCUGGGACUACAGGUAUGCACCACCAUACCCGGCUAAUUUUUAAAAUUUUUUUGUAGAGACAGGGUCUUGCUAUGUUGCCCAAUGUGGUGUGGAACUCUUGGCCUCAAGCAAUCCUCCCGCCUCAGCCUCCCAAAGUGGUGAGAUUACAAACAUGAGCCACUGUGCCCCACCUCAUGGUACAUUUUGAUUCUCUCUAUUACUAGCCUUUCAAAAUUGGUUUUGAGAAUAACAAAGAACCCAUUUUCCUAACCUGUCCAUUGUAAUAAAUGCCAGAGGAUAAAGCCUUUGAUGGACAGACAGGUGGCUCUCACAGUAGCAGUCAGGUAUCCAGGAUCUCCUCUAAUCCAUGAAUGCAGAGACAACUCUAGCUUCUACAGCAUUUAGUGAUGAUUCAAGUAAAUUUUAUUUUUAAGCUUCUAUUUAAAAGGAAACAAUUUGUUAGACAGCCACAGGUAGCACCUGCAACCAAUUUAAUCUGUAAUAACCAGUCUAAUAAGUGUGUAUGUUGGAGGUGUGGGAAGUGAAGAUGAAGGCAGCAGAAAUGAUCAGGUUGAAAAAGUGGACAUCUGGGUGACUUACUAUGUAAACAUAGCUUAAAGUACACAUUUCUGAAUACCUUGCUUCUAACAGGCUAAGGACUAAGUUUAUCUCUCUUCGUUAAAGCUCUGAUCUCUCUCAUACCCUCCUUCCCACCACCAAUGAUUACUGUAAAUACUGUAAUGGAUCAAGCACGACGUUUGCUUCAGUUCUGCGUGGGCAUGAAAAGACUUCUACCACCAGCUUACCUUUUAUGGACUCCUACAUCCAUAUAAGAAUCAAAAGGGCACUUCCUGCAGGCUUCUGUCAUGGGACAGCCCUGGGAACUGCCUUGUAAUAGGCACAGACCUCCCAAGUGCAUUUUAAUACCCCCAGUGAACACUGUAAACGGAUGGAAAUGGAAUUGGUCGUCAGAUAUUUAUGAUAACAUUCCCAUUCUGACAUUUCAAUGCCUUCGGAAGAACCCUCCUCGGCUCACUCACAAGCAUCGGAGAGGGCCUUGUCCCCAAGAAUACGAGAAAGCCCUUCCUCUCUGUGUACCUGCAGCUUUCAGGCUUCCCACACCUGGUUGGGGAGCAACCUCCUUCCCCCGCCGCCCAGAUAUCAGAGGAGUAUACCUCUCCCAGGAUACCCAAGAUGUAGGCUCCAUAAACGGCUCGGUCCACUCCCAGUGCCUCCAACCGUCCGUCCAGCCAGGAGCCAAAGCCGCUGCCUCCGCCAUCGCCUUCGCCAGGGGCUAUCGUGGCCACUUCGCUGGGCGCCGCCAUCUUGGGGUCAGGGUCCUGCAAGC